GUUUGGUUUGCUUGCAAACCAAAGCUGGCGACCGGCGCGACGGGUGAGUAACACGUAUCCAACCUGCCUCAUACUCGGGGAUAGCCUUUCGAAAGAAAGAUUAAUAUCCGAUAGCAUAUAUUUCCCGCAUGGGUUCUAUAUUAAAGAAAUUCGGUAUGAGAUGGGGAUGCGUUCCAUUAGUUUGUUGGCGGGGUAACGGCCCACCAAGACUACGAUGGAUAGGGGUUCUGAGAGGAAGGUCCCCCACAUUGGAACUGAGACACGGUCCAAACUCCUACGGGAGGCAGCAGUGAGGAAUAUUGGUCAAUGGACGCGAGUCUGAACCAGCCAAGUAGCGUGAAGGAUGACUGCCCUAUGGGUUGUAAACUUCUUUUAUAUGGGAAUAAAGUGGUCCACGUGUGGAUUUUUGUAUGUACCAUAUGAAUAAGGAUCGGCUAACUCCGUGCCAGCAGCCGCGGUAAUACGGAGGAUCCGAGCGUUAUCCGGAUUUAUUGGGUUUAAAGGGAGCGUAGGCGGAUUGUUAAGUCAGUUGUGAAAGUUUGCGGCUCAACCGUAAAAUUGCAGUUGAUACUGGCAGUCUUGAGUGCAGUAGAGGUGGGCGGAAUUCGUGGUGUAGCGGUGAAAUGCUUAGAUAUCACGAAGAACUCCGAUUGCGAAGGCAGCUCACUGGAGUGU
Molecule: ribosomal RNA, 675 nt
Filed under: uncultured Bacteroidales bacterium
Lineage: Bacteria; Pseudomonadati; Bacteroidota; Bacteroidia; Bacteroidales
Description: bacterial SSU rRNA
Rfam family: Bacterial small subunit ribosomal RNA
Source: RNAcentral